UACUAGACGUUCGCAUCAUUU
This 21-nucleotide non-coding RNA is filed under the name Caenorhabditis elegans. The record is from RNAcentral. Lineage: Eukaryota; Metazoa; Nematoda; Chromadorea; Rhabditida; Rhabditidae.